This 70-nucleotide microRNA precursor is filed under the name Podarcis lilfordi (Lilford's wall lizard). The record is from RNAcentral. Lineage: Eukaryota; Metazoa; Chordata; Lepidosauria; Squamata; Lacertidae.
ACAUACAUAUAUACAUACAUACAUAUAUAUAUAUAUAUAUAUAUAUAUGUAUGUGUGUGUGUGUGUGUGU